This 299-nucleotide signal recognition particle RNA is filed under the name Saimiri boliviensis boliviensis (Bolivian squirrel monkey). RNAcentral's name for it is "Metazoan signal recognition particle RNA (ENSSBOG00000016574.1)". It matches the Rfam family "Metazoan signal recognition particle RNA". From Rfam's summary of the family: The signal recognition particle (SRP) is a universally conserved ribonucleoprotein. Lineage: Eukaryota; Metazoa; Chordata; Mammalia; Primates; Cebidae. The record is from RNAcentral.
GCAGGGCACGGUGGCGUGUGCCUGUAGUCCCAGCUACUCAGGAGGCUGUGGUGGGAGGAUUGCUCGAGCCCAGGAGUUCUGGGCUGCAGUGUGCUAUGCCGAUCAGGUGUCGGCACUAAGUUCGGCAUCAAUAUGGUGACCUCCCGGGAGCGGGAGACCACCAGAUUGCCUAAGGAGGCGUGAACCGGCCCAGGCCGGAAAUGGAGCAGGUCAAACCUCCAGUGCUGAUCAGUAGUGGGAUCCCGCCUGUGAACAGCCACUGCACUCCAGCCUGGGCAACAUAGCAAGACCCCGUCUCU